RNAcentral lists this ribosomal RNA (301 nucleotides) under uncultured bacterium. Its description in RNAcentral is "partial 16S ribosomal RNA". It matches the Rfam family "Bacterial small subunit ribosomal RNA", at positions 509 to 807 of the family's 1533-position model. The record is from RNAcentral.
CAGUCGCCGCGGUAAUACGAGGGGUGCAAGCGUUAUUCGGAUUGAUUGGGUGUAAAGGGUGUGCAGACGGCUUAUUAAGUCACUUGUUAAAUUCUUCGGCCUAACUGAAGGUCUGCAAGUGAUACUGAUGAGCUAGAGGGUGGAAGAGAGAAGUGGGAUUCUCGGAGUAGCGGUAAAAUGCGUAGAUCUCGAGAGGAACACCAAUGGCGAAGGCAGCUUCUUGGUCCAUUCCUGACGUUCAUACACGAAAGCGUGGGGAGCAAACAGGAUUAGAUACCCCCGUAGUCCCUGUCUCUUAUAC